Long non-coding RNA from Phacochoerus africanus (Common warthog), 767 nucleotides. RefSeq lists it as uncharacterized. The record is from RefSeq and is a predicted model, not a curated record. The transcript is spliced from 2 exons. NCBI's taxonomy places the organism in Eukaryota, Metazoa, Chordata, Mammalia, Artiodactyla, Suidae.
GUUCCUAGUCGGAUUCGUUAACCACUGCGCCACGACGGGAACUCCUCAAGUGAUCCUUCUAAAAUAAAAACCUGCUUAAAUACCUCAAGAAACACACUUUUUCUUUUAGGCAAAAGUUUUCACACAAGACUCCUUUUUUUCUUAUUCUCCAGUCACACAGCACAUACUUCCUAUUUCCUGAAUGUGCCACUUUUUCCCUGGCUCCUGUGACUUAUUGGCUUCUUUUCUUUUUGAUUUCUUCAGGCUAAGCUACAUGGUUCUUCUCCUGAUUGCUUUUAGAAGAGCAUGAAUCAUCCUGGAUGGUUGCCUAUCUGUCCCCUCCACUCCACUGAACUUGGAGGCAGCUGUGUCUAGUUUGAGCUCCUGCUGGCUGAGACUACCAGCUUAAAUCUGGGCUUCUGCAAGUGACCAGUAAAAGACCUUUUGACAUCAGAGGGCCAAAACCUCUACCCUCCGAUCAUGCCAAGUGCCUCAAUUUUUUGAACAUGCAUCCCAUGAAGAAGCAUGUUUUUGUGCAGAACUUGAUUUCGUCACCGUUUCCCUUCCUCCAAUCACCUUUCCUCACUCCUAAAACCACCCUGUUUCUUUUGCCCUUAAAGGUCCCCCGCACCUCCCCUUUGGGAGGCCGAAAUGAGAUUUGUUCUUCCAUCUUCUUGCUCUGCUGUCUUGUGAAUGAACCCUUUCUCUGUUGCACACCUUGGUGCCUCAACAUCUGACUUGCUGAGCUGCCCACAAAUGAACCUGACCUGGUUUGGUAACAUCAGGAA